AUGUCGGCGUCGCCCGAGUUCUACAAGCCGGCGCCGGCCUUCUCCCCAUGCCGCUCGCCGCUUGCCCCGCGCGGAGAUGUCACCGCAGGAGCGGCCGGCGGAGCAGGAGUAGCAGGAGGAGUGGAUCAGCAGGCAGGCGCGUGGGAGGAGCAGUGCUGCCGGACGCCGACGGGCAAGGGGAGCGAGCUGAAGCAGGCGGCCGUGACGUGCCCGCCGGCGCCGAGGAAGCCGCGGGCGCCGGCCGCGCCGUGCCGGAAGCGGCUGUUCGAGGUGGAGGUGUUCAGCCUGCGGCUGGAGGAGCUGGAGCGCCUCUUCUGGCGCCCGCACGCGCCGCCUCCGCCGCCCGAGAAGAAGGUCAAGCUCAAGCGCCGCAGGGUCGCGCCGCCGAGCGCCUCGCCGUCGCCGGGGCCCAGCAAGAGCUAG
RNAcentral lists this ribosomal RNA (423 nucleotides) under Triticum aestivum (bread wheat). Its description in RNAcentral is "partial small subunit ribosomal RNA". The record is from RNAcentral. Lineage: Eukaryota; Viridiplantae; Streptophyta; Magnoliopsida; Poales; Poaceae.